RNAcentral lists this non-coding RNA (27 nucleotides) under Mus musculus (house mouse). Lineage: Eukaryota; Metazoa; Chordata; Mammalia; Rodentia; Muridae. The record is from RNAcentral.
UAAGCACACUGGCUGUCGCAAGAUGCU